Cyprinus carpio carpio is the source of this 1762-nucleotide long non-coding RNA. The record is from Ensembl. Lineage: Eukaryota; Metazoa; Chordata; Actinopteri; Cypriniformes; Cyprinidae.
AAAAGAGAAACAUAUGGAGAUGUUUAUUUGGUGCAAAUAUCAAAAUGUAUUUGUCUACAAAUCAUGCACUAUAAAAUGUGUUUUGAGCUCAUAAUAUAGUAUUGUUUAUGGAACUGUAUGAAAAUAAUGUUUAUUAAUCAAUAAUUGGCCGUAAUCAUAAUUUGUGUUAAAAUUGAUAAAAGAGUUUUGCAAAAGUAUGUGUAGAGGCACAUUUUUUUUUUUUUUUUCAUGUUGAAAUGGUUAGGAGGAAAAACUUGGAAUCACAUGGAAAACACUUAUCGUACUUGGUUAGAAUACAGUGUUGUUUGUCACAUCCAUGUUAGUUCUAAUUCAAACUCUUUUCUGUUCUGAACAACACAGAAGAGAAGAGUUGCUAGGCAUCGGUGAACAUCAGUUCAUGUGCUAGAAAUUUAUUGGCAAUGUUCACAUUAUCAACAUUGUUUUUCAAAUGAUUUCUCUGAUUGCGUGUGCACAUGAAGCAUUACUUUUCUGCAGUCUAUCAAACUUCUCAAGGUGCAAUCAGGGUCGAAACACCGGGUCUAAUCAGAGAAGACAGCAAUCAAGACUGCGAGGAUCUCUGGGUGCCUGAAGUACUUGACGAUCUGAAGCUUGCAGUGGAGCAGGUGACAGUUUCAAGUGCUCGUGCUGUGGAGUGCAUCAGGAGAGAAGAGGCGAGGAGCUGGAGGAGCGUGAAGUGUCUGGUGGCCUGUGGUGGAACGACUCGCUUCCCUCGCUGCGGGGCGUCUUGGUGACUCAUUAAUCUCCGCUUUUGUCUGUGUUUAUAAAUACAGAGACACGCUUCAUGCUAAUCUGGGAUCUACAGAGGGAUAUGCUCCAUCGGAGAUGAUUGCUUCAUUUUGCAUUUCCCCCAGAGUAAGCCCAUAACGAGGGGAAGAGAGAGCAGAAGACCUGCCGCUGAGAACGAUGUCAGGUGAGCGAAACCACUUCAAUCAUUGGAGGAAAACACUACAAACGUCCCUGACAGAGAAUGACUCAGCUGUCUUACAAGACUACAUCACCAGGCCCAAUGACCUAGUUCUGUUACGCAAUAUACAUGCAGUUGACCUGUCAGUGCUGGUUUCUUUUGGCUGUAGUGACAGCAGCCUCCACCGAUGGCAAACGUCAGGAAUAUAAAGCUCUUCUGAUGAGAAGAAGCUUUAAAAAAAGAGCUGAGAUCAUGAAUGAAUGAACAGCUGAAGUGUACUGAUACAUUCUAAAGAGGUUCAAACUCAAACUGUAAAUUGGACAAGAUCUCAGCGAACUGAAUUCAUUUGCUCUUAUUUCCCUAUGCAUUCUCAUUUCUAUCACUUUCUCUCCCGCUUCACUCAGCAGGGUCAGGAGAAAUUCACUAUGUACGAGAACCGAGUCCCUUUGAGUUUGUGAACUGAAUUGGUCACGCGCCGCAGGAUGUUGAAUUGGAAUUUGAAUCGGAAUGACAGGAAGAGGAAUUUAACGAAUUGCAAUUCAAAGAAAUUCGACACAGUCAUUCAACAGAGGAAUUUCAAUAGUACAACAAUAACACGAUGGCCAAGAACAGAUCACUUCCAUCUUUUUAACUUUGCUUCUUGAUGUCUGGCUCCAUUUGGAGACUCUGGCUAUAAAUUAGCACAGGGGUUUUUGAUGUUCCUAAUAUAUAAUGGCAUAUUUUCAUGUACUGAAUAAAGACCCAUCUAUACAGUGUGAGAAAGAAUGCACAAUCUUUAUAAAAGAAACAUGUUUUUACAUAAUGGAUUUUUAUGUUGUCAUUAUACUAAAGUAAAAU